GGGGGUAUUCCAGAAAGCUUGGUUAACUUACCAUUUGCUAAACUAUAACCUCUGGGUUGAUUUACCCCAAACAGGCAUACCAUGAGUAUGUCGGUUCCAAAACACCUGAGAAGAGUUAGUUUAAUCAACCUCUGACUGGUUACCCAGAGUUAAUGCGCAUGCACGGUGCAUGUAUAAAGACAUUUUCAAUGGAUCUCAGAUUUCACGAGUCACCAUGGAAACUCAAAGCGAAAAAAAGAGAGCGGCGUAUUUCACAGAGGCGGAGUUGGAAGUUUUAAUGCAUGCUUAUGAGGAGUUUAAGCCAAUAAUAUUAAAAAGAAGCAAUACAGCUGCAUCGGCUAAAGCAAGAGAGCUGGCUUGGCAAAAAAUAACGGACAGAGUAAAUGCGUGUAAUCCUUCUGGAGCCACAAUAACUUUAAGCCAAGUCAAAAUGAAACACAAAAACAUUCUGCAAAAAGCUAACAGAAAGAAGACUGAAGCCUGUCUAACUGGCGGGGAGGCCACCACCACCUCCCCUCACCCCAUCUGAGGAGCUGGCUCUGUCCCUUAAUAAAGGGCGACCAGUGGUUGCUGGCAUUCCAGGGGGCAGUUCAUCACACAUACUAUGCACCACAAGUGAUGGUGAAAAAAGGGUGACAUAUACUGAUGGACGGAUUGUAUUAUUAGACUCUCCAGAAAGAACACAGUCUGUCACAGUUGAUGAAGAUGAUGAUGACGAUGAAGAGACCACAUCUGCUGUGACAGAAGUGGACAAUGCUGGUAGAUCCCCUGAGUACAUACCUAGGGAUUUGCCCAGUGAUGAGGGUCCUUCAGCCUCAGCACACAAUCUAAGCAGG
Carassius carassius (crucian carp) is the source of this 836-nucleotide long non-coding RNA. RefSeq lists it as uncharacterized. The transcript has 6 exons. Lineage: Eukaryota; Metazoa; Chordata; Actinopteri; Cypriniformes; Cyprinidae. The record is from RefSeq and is a predicted model, not a curated record.